Terrisporobacter sp. is the source of this 252-nucleotide regulatory RNA element. It matches the Rfam family "T-box leader". Rfam says of the family: Uncharged tRNA acts as the effector for transcription antitermination of genes in the T-box leader family. T-boxes are found upstream of many aminoacyl-tRNA synthetase genes and some amino acid biosynthetic genes usually in Gram-positive bacteria. The anticodon of a specific tRNA base pairs to a specifier sequence within the T-box motif, and the NCCA acceptor tail of the tRNA base pairs to a conserved bulge in the T-box antiterminator hairpin. NCBI's taxonomy places the organism in Bacteria, Bacillati, Bacillota, Clostridia, Peptostreptococcales, Peptostreptococcaceae. The record is from Rfam.
AGAAAAGCAAUGAUAAGAACAAGUAGUAAUUAAUUAAGAUAAACAGAAAGUUACCGGUUGAUGAGAGGUGCAUAUACAAUUAAUUAUGAAUACAUCUUUGAGCUUCGCACUGAAAGACAAAUGUUUAGUAGGCUGUGACGAAUUUGACACACGUUAUAGUGUCAUAGUAUUUAUUUAGAUACUAACUGAGGUAAGCAGUGUGAGCUGUUUACAAACAAAGGUGGUAACGCGAGAUAUGCCCUCGUCCUUUUU